GAAAUAUCAGCCUCGGUCACUGUGGGCUCUGGAGAAUUUAGCACUGCUUUUAGUUAAACGAUGUUCCUUCCAUUUUUGCUGCUGCUGGCAGCUUCAUCCUAUGUGGAAUGUGCAGUAGAACUCACUCAGGUCACCUCAGUGAUGUUAAAGCCAGGAGACUCUUUAACCCUCAGCUGUAAAGUAUCCGGCUACUCUGUAACUGAUAACAGCUACGCCACAGCUUGGAUUCGACAACCUGCAGGGAAAACUCUGGAGUGGAUAAACCACAUUUGGGGUGGUGGAAGUAUUUAUAAUAAAGAUUCUCUAAAAAACAAGUUCAGUAUUUCUAAAGACGGCUCCAGCAGCACGGUGACUCUGAGAGGACAGAAUCUGCAGACAGAAGACACAGCUGUGUAUUACUGCGCCCGCUACACACACUGAUGCUUCUGCUUAGCU
This is a non-coding RNA of Pangasianodon hypophthalmus (striped catfish), 435 nucleotides long. NCBI's taxonomy places the organism in Eukaryota, Metazoa, Chordata, Actinopteri, Siluriformes, Pangasiidae. The record is from the annotation of a RefSeq genome assembly.